ACUUCAGUGACACCGUGCAUGAAAAUAAUUUAAAAAAAAAAAGACUCAUUAACCUCCGGAUUAAAAGAAAUACUCUGGAGUAAGCAUUAGCCCAUUUUUGCGCCAAAUUUGAGUAACUUCUUAAUAAUUUAAUAAUAUUACAUAAUAUUUAUUCAGUAUAUUAAUUUUCAGAGGAUUUUUUCUAUGAUCUUAGCGUUUCUUAAUUUUUAAAAAUCCUUUAAAACAUGUUUUCGAAUAGUAUUAAGUUCGUAUUUUACAUUUUCCGUGUUAUUUUCAGUGUGUUGAACAAUUUUGCGAGAACUGGCGAACACGACUAGGCCUAAGAAUGCCUAACAUCUAGUGACGUAUCAUAAAAAUAUUGCUUUUUUUUAUCAUGUUGGCAGACACAUAGUUAACUUAGAUUUAAUCAUACACUUGGCAGACACAUAGUUAACUUAGAUUUAAUCAUACACUUGCAGUUAGGCCUAAAUAAUAUUAAAUAUCAUAAUAGGCCUAAUCAAUAGCAGUUUGAAUUUAGUUUUGUAAUUCUGGUAGCAGAUUUUCAAUUUACUAUAAAAUCUAUUAGGCCUAUUUUCCUUUAUUUUUCCAUGCCUUGUAGAAAUUAAAUAUAUGACACUGUUUUUCUUUUCCAUAAAGGCUACAGCAAUCAUGAGGAAUCAGGGUUAAGUCUUAGUUCACUAUGGCUAACUGGUAUAAUUCAUUUAUCAAGUUAUAUCUGACAUACAGACCAGCAAAAGGAAUAGGUCUAUUUAUAUGGUGUGGAAGCUGCACAGCUAACGACUCGUCAGUUUAACAUAAGAGAUGUUGGAUGGCAAAGUGUAGUGAAGACUUGGUUAUCUGAGCUCUGCUUAAGGAACAACAUGCAUCUGAUAAUGCUGAUAUCCAUAGUGAGCAGACAGUAAGACUGUACAAUGAAAUUUAAUAUCUUGAUGUCGCAUUAAUUACAGGAAAUUCAGUUAUAAUAAUUCAGCUAAUGGAAUAGUGCCAAAUUUUCUCAUCUUCUGUUAUGUCUUAUGUCCUAUUGAUGAUGUUGAUGAUGUCUAUUUUUAGUCAUGUAGGCUUUGCAAUUCUAAAACUUAGGUUUAUUAAAAUUUAUCCAGGAUGUUUUAACUGGUGUUGUUACUUGUUAUGGUUUGACAUUUUUUCAUUAUUGAAUAAACUUUGUUUUAUUUAUAACAUUUCUUUCUAUUCCUGUGCAUCAAAGCUAUGAUUAAAACACUACUAUUAAUAUUAGCAUGGAGUUAUGUUACAAAUGCUUUUCACAAGCAUACUCUUACUAUUUCUUUAUGGGUAUUAAUUACUAUUAGUAUUUGGAAAUAGCUAGACUAUAUGGAAUUGGCUUACUAUUUAUCCAACUUUAAAAAAAAAAUCCAAAUAAACAUGACAUGAAACUGCUUAAACAGUGUUGUCGCAUAAUUUCCACCACCCCAGGUACAGUACACUACAUCUACAUGUAUUACAA
This is a long non-coding RNA of Physella acuta, 1462 nucleotides long. RefSeq lists it as uncharacterized. The record is from RefSeq and is a predicted model, not a curated record. Lineage: Eukaryota; Metazoa; Mollusca; Gastropoda; Physidae.